RNAcentral lists this ribosomal RNA (254 nucleotides) under uncultured bacterium. RNAcentral describes it as "partial 16S ribosomal RNA". It matches the Rfam family "Bacterial small subunit ribosomal RNA", at positions 524 to 776 of the family's 1533-position model. The record is from RNAcentral.
UACGUAGGGUGCGAGCGUUGUCCGGAAUUACUGGGCGUAAAGAGCUCGUAGGUGGUUUGUCGCGUCUGUCGUGAAAGCCCGGGGCUUAACUCCGGGUCUGCGGUGGAUACGGGCAGACUAGAGGCAGGUAGGGGAGAACGGAAUUCCCGGUGUAGCGGUGAAAUGCGCAGAUAUCAGGAGGAACACCGGUGGCGAAGGCGGAUCUCUGGGCCUGUCCUGACGCUGAGGCGCGAAAGCUAGGGGGAGCGAACAGG